This is a long non-coding RNA of Myotis lucifugus (little brown bat), 391 nucleotides long. RefSeq lists it as uncharacterized. NCBI's taxonomy places the organism in Eukaryota, Metazoa, Chordata, Mammalia, Chiroptera, Vespertilionidae. The transcript has 2 exons. The record is from RefSeq and is a predicted model, not a curated record.
AGCUGAGACACUGCUAGUGGACCCUGGCCCCUCCUCACCCCUCACCUGGAGAUGCCCACACGUCUGGUACAGCAGCUGACAGCUGACUACUCGGUCCCCCACCUGCUACUUUCCACCAGACACCUUCUGACCUGGGAGAGGAACAGACAGGGAGCAAGACAGAAGCAUCAAUGAUGAGAAAUAAUUAUUGAUUGGCUGCCUCCUGCACUGGGGAUUGAAACCCCACCUCAGGCAUGUGACCCAACCAGGAAUCAAACUGUGGAUGCUUAACCUCUGAGCAACACCGGCCGGGCUAAUGGAAUAGUAUUUAAAAAUUUUAAAAUAGAACUUUUUGGGGAAGUUUUCAAAUGUAAACAGAGAAGUUUCAAGAAUAAAUAUAGUACAAAGAGCA